AGCUUGCUUUUAUGCUGACGAGUGGCGCACGGGUGAGUAACGCGUAUACAAUCUACCUUUUACAGGGGGAUAGCCUUUAGAAAUGAAGAUUAAUAUCCCAUAGUAAGUUAUCAUUGCAUGAUAGUAACUUUAAAGUUUCGGCGGUAAAAGAUGAGUAUGCGUUCUAUUAGCUAGAUGGUGUGGUAACGGCACACCAUGGCAACGAUAGAUAGGGGCCCUGAGAGGGGGAUCCCCCACACUGGUACUGAGACACGGACCAGACUCCUACGGGAGGCAGCAGUGAGGAAUAUUGGACAAUGGGCGCGAGCCUAAUCCAGCCAUGCCGCGUGCAGGAAGACUGCCCUAUGGGUUGUAAACUGCUUUUAUACGGGAAGAAACCUAGUCACGUGUGACUAGCUGACGGUACCGUAAGAAUAAGGAUCGGCUAACUCCGUGCCAGCAGCCGCGGUAAUACGGAGGAUCCAAGCGUUAUCCGGAAUCAUUGGGUUUAAAGGGUCCGUAGGUGGAUAAUUAAGUCAGGGGUGAAAGUCUGCAGCUCAACUGUAGAAUUGCCCUUGAUACUGGUUGUCUUGAAUUAUUGUGAAGUGGUUAGAAUAUGUAGUGUAGCGGUGAAAUGCAUAGAUAUUACAUAGAAUACCAAU
Molecule: ribosomal RNA, 641 nt
Filed under: Winogradskyella eximia
Lineage: Bacteria; Pseudomonadati; Bacteroidota; Flavobacteriia; Flavobacteriales; Flavobacteriaceae
Description: bacterial SSU rRNA
Rfam family: Bacterial small subunit ribosomal RNA
Source: RNAcentral